This 293-nucleotide unclassified non-coding RNA is filed under the name fungal sp. RNAcentral describes it as "partial internal transcribed spacer region". The stretch from base 1 to 46 matches the Rfam family "Eukaryotic small subunit ribosomal RNA", at positions 1786 to 1831 of the family's 1831-position model. The record is from RNAcentral. Lineage: Eukaryota; Fungi.
AAGUCGUAACAAGGUUUCCGUAGGUGAACCUGCGGAAGGAUCAUUAAUGAAAUGAUAAUUUUUUGGGGUUUUUCCCUGAAAAAUAAUUCACCUUUUGUGCAUUGUUAUUAGAUAUACUUUGGUUAGAGCUUUGAUUUCAUUUAAUGGAAUCAACUUCUUGCUGACUCUAUCCUUUCUGAGGACAGUCGGCUAUGAAGCGGCCUACCAAGUUUUUUUAUCAAACUCUUGUAUUUUGUCUGACCUAAACUAUUAUAAUAAAAUCAUAACUUUCAACAACGGAUCUCUUGGCUCUC